AACUGGGAACCGACCAGCAUGAGAAUCGGGCGACCCUAUAGAAGCAUCCUCAAUGGAUGACUGGGCACAAGUCCCCUGGAACGGGUGCUGAAGAGGGCGAGCGCCCUGUCGUGCUCGGACCUUGCCGCACUACAAAGCACUGUCGGCAAGUCGGGUUGUUUGGAAAUGUAGCCCUAAUUGGGCGGUAAAUUCCAUCCAAAGUUAAACACUGGCUAGAGACCGAUAGCAAACAAGCGACCCCAGG
This 244-nucleotide ribosomal RNA is filed under the name Amborella trichopoda. RNAcentral describes it as "rRNA LSU_rRNA_eukarya". It matches the Rfam family "Eukaryotic large subunit ribosomal RNA", at positions 106 to 358 of the family's 3401-position model. Lineage: Eukaryota; Viridiplantae; Streptophyta; Magnoliopsida; Amborellales; Amborellaceae. The record is from RNAcentral.